RNAcentral lists this ribosomal RNA (253 nucleotides) under uncultured bacterium. RNAcentral describes it as "partial 16S ribosomal RNA". It matches the Rfam family "Bacterial small subunit ribosomal RNA", at positions 524 to 776 of the family's 1533-position model. The record is from RNAcentral.
UACGUAGGGGGCAAGCGUUGUCCGGAUUUAUUGGGCGUAAAGAGCGUGUAGGCGGCCAGGUAGGUCCGUUGUGAAAACUCGAGGCUCAACCUCGAGACGCCGAUGGAAACCAUCUGGCUAGAGUCCGGAAGAGGAGAGUGGAAUUCCCGGUGUAGCGGUGAAAUGCGCAGAUAUCGGGAGGAACACCUGAGGCGAAGGCGGGCUACUGGGCCGAUACUGACGCUGAUGCGCGAAAGCCAGGGGAGCGAACAGG